Molecule: ribosomal RNA, 450 nt
Filed under: uncultured bacterium
Lineage: Bacteria
Description: bacterial SSU rRNA
Rfam family: Bacterial small subunit ribosomal RNA
Source: RNAcentral
AACGAACGCUGGCGGCAUGCCUAACACAUGCAAGUCGAACGAAGCCCUCGGGCUUAGUGGCGCACGGGUGCGUAACACGUGGGAAUCUGCCCUUUGGUUCGGAAUAACAGUUAGAAAUGACUGCUAAUACCGGAUAAUGACGUAAGUCCAAAGAUUUAUCGCCGAAGGAUGAGCCCGCGUAGGAUUAGGUAGUUGGUGGGGUAAUGGCCCACCAAGCCGACGAUCCUUAGCUGGUCUGAGAGGAUGAUCAGCCACACUGGGACUGAGACACGGCCCAGACUCCUACGGGAGGCAGCAGUGGGGAAUAUUGGACAAUGGGCGAAAGCCUGAUCCAGCAAUGCCGCGUGAGUGAUGAAGGCCUUAGGGUUGUAAAGCUCUUUUACCAGGGAUGAUAAUGACAGUACCUGGAGAAUAAGCUCCGGCUAACUCCGUGCCAGCAGCCGCGGUAAU